RNAcentral lists this unclassified non-coding RNA (277 nucleotides) under Hevea brasiliensis (rubber tree). The record is from RNAcentral. Lineage: Eukaryota; Viridiplantae; Streptophyta; Magnoliopsida; Malpighiales; Euphorbiaceae.
GCUCCUUUUUGUUAGUGCUACAGAUGACUUUUUUAUUGUGGCAGUUGACAGCUUGAGUAAAUGGCAUUAGUUUAUGGGUUUUGAACCAAGUUAGUUUAUUACAGAAGUAGCCCUAGCAGAUCAAUGUGCCAAUGUUAUUCAUUAAAUCAGAACUUGUAUAGCUCUAUUGCAAAUUAACAUAUAUGUUCUAUGAGGGGGAUAAUUGGUUGGUUAGUUGUAACACUGUCUUCCUGAAUCAUUGGUUGUCCAAGGCAGAAGUUUAUUCCUUUAUUGGCCG